Molecule: ribosomal RNA, 491 nt
Filed under: uncultured bacterium
Lineage: Bacteria
Description: partial 16S ribosomal RNA
Rfam family: Bacterial small subunit ribosomal RNA
Source: RNAcentral
AGUGAACGCUGGCGGUAGGCCUAACACAUGCAAGUCGAACGGCAGCACAGUAAGAGCUUGCUCUUACGGGUGGCGAGUGGCGGACGGGUGAGGAAUACAUCGGAAUCUACUUUUUCGUGGGGGAUAACGUAGGGAAACUUACGCUAAUACCGCAUACGACCUACGGGUGAAAGCAGGGGAUCUUCGGACCUUGCGCGAUUGAAUGAGCCGAUGUCGGAUUAGCUAGUUGGCGGGGUAAAGGCCCACCAAGGCGACGAUCCGUAGCUGGUCUGAGAGGAUGAUCAGCCACACUGGAACUGAGACACGGUCCAGACUCCUACGGGAGGCAGCAGUGGGGAAUAUUGGACAAUGGGCGCAAGCCUGAUCCAGCCAUACAGCGUGGGUGAAGAAGGCCUUCGGGUUGUAAAGCCCUUUUGUUGGGAAAGAAAAGCAGCAGGUUAAUACCCCGCUGUUCUGACGGUACCCAAAGAAUAAGCACCGGCUAACUUCGU